UACGAAGGGGGCUAGCGUUGUUCGGAAUUACUGGGCGUAAAGCGUGCGCAGGCGGUCUCUCAAGUCAGGGGUGAAAGCCCAGAGCUCAACUCUGGAACUGCCCUUGAAACUGUGAGGCUCGAGUGCGGGAGAGGUGAGUGGAAUUCCCAGUGUAGAGGUGAAAUUCGUAGAUAUUGGGAAGAACACCGGUGGCGAAGGCGGCUCACUGGCCCGUUUCUGACGCUCAUGCACGAUAGCGUGGGGAUCAAACAGG
Molecule: ribosomal RNA, 253 nt
Filed under: uncultured bacterium
Lineage: Bacteria
Also listed under: 1 other name
Description: partial 16S ribosomal RNA
Rfam family: Bacterial small subunit ribosomal RNA
Source: RNAcentral